CUACGGGUCGCUCCAGUGGGGAAUAUUGCAUAAUGGGCGCAAGCCUGAUGCAGCCAUGCCGCGUGUAUGAAGAAGGCCUUCGGGUUGUAAAGUACUUUCAGCGGGGAGGAAGGGAGUAAAGUUAAUACCUUUGCUCAUUGACGUUACCCGCAGAAGAAGCACCGGCAAACUCCGUGCCAGCAGCCGCGGUAAUACGGAGGGUGCAAGCGUUAAUCGGAAUUACUGGGCGUAAAGCGCACGCAGGCGGUUUGUUAAGUCAGAUGUGAAAUCCCCGGGCUCAACCUGGGAACUGCAUCUGAUACUGGCAAGCUUGAGUCUCGUAGAGGGGGGUAGAAUUCCAGGUGUAGCGGUGAAAUGCGUAGAGAUCUGGAGGAAUACCGGUGGCGAAGGCGGCCCCCUGGACGAAGACUGACGCUCAGGUGCGAAAGCGUGGGGAGCAAACAGGAUUAGAUACCCGUGUAGUC
RNAcentral lists this ribosomal RNA (464 nucleotides) under uncultured bacterium. Its description in RNAcentral is "partial 16S ribosomal RNA". It matches the Rfam family "Bacterial small subunit ribosomal RNA", at positions 339 to 795 of the family's 1533-position model. The record is from RNAcentral.